Molecule: non-coding RNA, 31 nt
Filed under: Macaca fascicularis (crab-eating macaque)
Lineage: Eukaryota; Metazoa; Chordata; Mammalia; Primates; Cercopithecidae
Also listed under: 1 other name
Source: RNAcentral
UGUGUAGCACCCCUACCAGCCCAACUCAGGA